UGGCGGACGGGUGAGUAACGCGUGGGUAACCUGCCUUACACUGGGGGAGUAACACUUAGAAAUAGGUGCUAAUACCGCAUAAGCGCACGAAGCCGCAUGGAUUUGUGUGAAAACUCCGGUGGUGUAAGAUGGACCCGCGUCUGAUUAGCUUGUUGGCGGGGCAACGGCCCACCAAGGCGACGAUCAGUAGCCGGCCUGAGAGGGUGGACGGCCACAUUGGGACUGAGACACGGCCCAAACUCCUACGGAAGGCAGCAG
Molecule: ribosomal RNA, 258 nt
Filed under: uncultured bacterium
Lineage: Bacteria
Description: partial 16S ribosomal RNA
Rfam family: Bacterial small subunit ribosomal RNA
Source: RNAcentral